UACCCGCUCCCCGAGUGGUGGGGACGCUUAUUGGGCCUAAAGCAUCCUUAGCCGGCUGGGUAAGUCCCCUGUUAAAUCCAGCGAUUCAAUCGCUGGACUGCGGGGGAUACUGCCCAGCUAGGGGGCGGGAGAGGCCGGCGGUAUUCCCGGGGUAGGGGUGAAAUCCUAUAAUCCCGGGAGGACCACCAGUGGCGAAGGCUGCCGGCGGGAACGCGCCCGACGGUGAGGGAUGAAAGCUGGGGGAGCGAACCGG
This 253-nucleotide ribosomal RNA is filed under the name uncultured archaeon. RNAcentral's name for it is "partial 16S ribosomal RNA". It matches the Rfam family "Archaeal small subunit ribosomal RNA", at positions 474 to 727 of the family's 1478-position model. The record is from RNAcentral.